RNAcentral lists this long non-coding RNA (2566 nucleotides) under Nicotiana benthamiana. RNAcentral's name for it is "long non-coding RNA (NBEN_LNC009141)". Lineage: Eukaryota; Viridiplantae; Streptophyta; Magnoliopsida; Solanales; Solanaceae. The record is from RNAcentral.
GCACCCCUCCCCCCUCAGACCCCCUCCUCUCUAUCAUCUCUAACCUUCAAAUACCGAACCCUACGCCGCCCUAUUUUGACACCGAAAACCUUCUCAUGGCGGUUUCGGUGGGCCAAACACCUCCAUUUUUAGACCACUGAUUCUCCUUGACCUCCGCAUUCUGAAUCCCUAACCCUUAUCCCUCGAAUACCAGCCGUUUUCUUUGAGUAUUAGAUAAAAAAUUGGACUGGAACCCUAGUUCGUCUAAUUAACCCCAAAUUAAUACCACUUGACCACCCAACCUCCCUUGUCCUUAAUCUAAAACCACUUUCAUUCGAAUCGAGCUGGAACUUUUCAAAUUUUAAUUCGAAUGAACGAUCCAUAUAAAACCAAACUCCAGUUUUAAUGCAAAUUGGACAAAAUUGAGGUUUCAAUCAACCUUAGUCGUAUGUUCUUAGUCGAGAAUAUUUGAUUAAGGUUCAUUUCAAUCUCAAAUCCAAAAUGGGAGUUCGAGUUCAAAGUUAAGGUGCCAAGGUUGAUUCCUAGUUUAUUCGGUGUGUGUUGUUAUUUGUUUUAUGUUUAUGUUCAGUAUUAUUUUAAUUACUAUCUCCCUCAGCUAUUUUUCGUGGAAUUAGGUCCAGAAUUAAUGGAUUGGCCAGAUUAGUUCUGCAUUAUGUGUCGAUUUGUACAUAUGUGAAUUAUGUUCCAAACCUCUUUCAUUUUGAAUAAAUUCAAGGUUUAGUGCAUUCCAUGUGUAGUUAGUCUUUCACUUCAACCUAGUGGAUGUUUCCGAUAAAUGAAUCCUUCAUCCUUGUUUCAAUUCCAUUCGGCUUGGUUUAGGUUUGAGUACAAACUGUUAUUGAAUUUGACGAUUUGAAGCAUGAUAAUAUUCUAUUGAGUUUGAUGUUUAUUAUCAAUAUGACUUUGGUUUAUAUCCAGCCUUAGUGUUCCAGUGAUUAGUUAGGAAUUAGUUUAGUCAAUUGUUAGUUUUCCUCAUUAGAUGAAUUGGCUAUAGCUGAUAGGGUAGGGCAGUGAAUCACAGGGGUUUCGGGGGUAAUUUGGGAUUCACAACUUGAAAGGGUUGUGGUCUGUCAGUAAGUACUAAUAUAUCAUUAAACUAAUGCAUUUGUUUAAUAAUAGUGGGAAACAAAACAUAAUAGUAUGGGGAAGUCUAAUGGGAGUAAUUAAAAAGUAAGUCACCUAUAACCCUUGAACAAAAACAAUGAAAUAAGACAUAUAGUAGUGUGGAGUUUAGGGAGUAGUAUGGGAGGAAAUCUUUUCUUAUUUGUUUGUUAAGUGCUGGACAGAUGAGUGGGGUUUUGGGUAUAAAUGAGAGGCAUUUAGGACAUAGAGAGUGGGGUCCUUGAAUCGAUAUGAGAGAGAAUUUGUUUUUGAACAUUGAGGUCAGUUUUUUAAAGCAAUCGGAUAUAGCCUGAAAGCACUGGAAAACAGACCUGGAAUCAGUUCUUAGAGAUCAGUUUUUGAGAGUUCCUUUUCUUUUAGAGCUUGAAAAAAAAACUUGAAAGAUACUAGGAUUCCAAUUUUCAAACCUACCUUUCCAUUGAACCUUGAAAAGAAUUUCAGUUCUAAUUAUCAAGAUACAUUUUUGAGUUCAGCUUCUGGUUGCUGGAUUCUAGGGGUGUUUCUGAUUGUAUUCCCAUUGGUAUUUGGUUUCAAUUGAACUUUUUUGGGGUCAAUUAUUGGUUACUGUGAUUCUGUGUAUUGUUGGGUUUCAUUUUGGUCUAUUUGGGUGUUGUGUUGUCUAUUUUAAACUGUUCCAUUGUUGCUACUAGUAUUACUGUUGCUACUGAUCCUCUUCCUCUUCAUUUUAUUUUACAUCUCCAGGUACGCAUUUGAGACUAUGUUGAUGUGGCUUCAUCUAUUGAAAAUGAAAUGAUAUUGAGGCUGAUGCUACACUACGGAUUUGUCGUUUAAAAGUUCUGUUAUUUUAAACAGUUUUCUUCUGUGAUUCGUUUAGUUGUUUGCUGUAAUUAAACUUGAAUUGUAUGACUGGACUGGACAUUGGCUUGAAUAAUAGAUGUUACUUAUGUUUUAUGGACUGAAAUUUGGAUCUCUGUAGUAGGGUGGUUGUACUGGGCUGCACCAAGCUGUGUGAAUCAUUCGAAUUGGUCAUAGUUGAUUUGGUUGUUAAUGCAAAUAUAGGUUGAUGAAUCUUCACGUAGUAGGGUGGUUGUACUAGGCUGCACAAAGCUGUGUGAAUCAUUCGAAUUGGUCAUAGUUGAUUUGGUUGUUAAUGCAAAUAUAGGUUGAUGAAUCUUCACCUAAAUCUAAAGCUCGUAGUAAUUAAUUGUUACUGGCCUUUAUCUUGCAACGUUAGAACUAGCCGUAAAAUAUAUCAAUCAACCACUUAGUUAAUUGUAGCCUUUCCUACGAAUGAUAGUUUAUUCACAACCUCACAUGAUUAAUUACCCUAAAACACCAAUUAAUAUGGUAGUUUGAAGUGGUAUUUGCGAGUUAGUGCUAGGGUGUUAGUAGAAAUCAGAAUGUGCACGUCUGCUGAAUUAGUCCAUUAAAUUUGAUAGUUUCAUUUAGCUAGAAGGGCUUUAAUUUGAUCAACACUUUGAAU